Long non-coding RNA from Metopolophium dirhodum (rose-grain aphid), 422 nucleotides. RefSeq lists it as uncharacterized. NCBI's taxonomy places the organism in Eukaryota, Metazoa, Arthropoda, Insecta, Hemiptera, Aphididae. The record is from RefSeq and is a predicted model, not a curated record. The transcript is spliced from 3 exons.
AGAAUAUUGGGUAUCUCCAACGAUGAGGUUGAAGAAAAUGAACAGACAAAUAAAGGAUUUGGAGACAUAUAGUUGAUGAAUUUAAUUCUUAGAAACUUAAUAAUGUCUAAUUCACAUACACUUAUUUCAUUCAGUGGAUUAUACUUAUAUUUUCCAAACUGAAAUAUACGAUGCACCACAUACAAGCAACUAGGAAGUCGAUCAAAUAUCCUGACAAUUUUUCAGACGUUGACUUUUAUGAAAAUAAUUCUACCUACUUAGAUGAAGCCAUACAAUAUUGGAGCGAAUUAUGAAACUUAAGGGCAAUACAAUUUUGCUGAGCAAGAACCCAAUUUAAAUAACACAGAUGAGGGCCUCAACAUAUCUAAAUUGCAAAGAAACACGUAACUAGUUUGGACUUCAGUAUCUUUUCUGAAAUAAAA